Cervus elaphus (red deer) is the source of this 5109-nucleotide long non-coding RNA. RefSeq lists it as uncharacterized. The transcript has 3 exons. The record is from RefSeq and is a predicted model, not a curated record. Lineage: Eukaryota; Metazoa; Chordata; Mammalia; Artiodactyla; Cervidae.
UAUAUGGACCUUUGUUGUCAAAGUGAUGUCUUUACUUUUUAAUACACUGUCUAGGUAUGGAUAAAUCUAUAGGUAAAUGGGGAUAUCUUUGAACAUAAGUAGUGUUACAGUAGAGAAUGUAGAAGUCAUUAGUUGGAACUCCUUUAACUUCCAGCCACUAAACUUCCAAAUCUAAGUGAUCUAAAUCCCUUCCAUUGGAUCAAAAUUCAGAUGUCCCUUUUCUAACCCACUUACUCAUUCUGUAGAUCUGUUUCAUCUUCUAUGAAGUGUCAUAUUAUCGGUUGUCCUUUCUUUCCUUUAUCUUCAACUUCUCUGUUGGAUUCCUUUUAUUAGCAUUUAAACAUUUUCUGUUCUCCAUCUUAACAACAAUAAGCAUUUAGAAAAAGUCUCCAUUAAAAAACACAUUUUCAGUUAUAAAAGAUGAGUUGGCCUUAGAGAUCUACUGUUCAGCACAGUGCCUAUAGUUAACAGUGCUGUACCAUAUACUUUAAAAUUUGCUAAGAGGAUAAAAUUUAUGUAAAUUGUUCUUAUCACAAAAAUAAUAAGGCAGAAGGAAACUUUUGGAAGUGAUGGAUAAGUUUAUGGCAUAGAUUGUGUUGUGGUUUCAUAGGUAUAUACUUAUCUCCAAACUCAUUAAGUUGUAUACAUUAAUUAUGUACAGCUUUUGAUGUGUUGGAAAAAAAAAAAAAAAAACACCUCUUGAUUUCAUUUUCCCUUUGGCAAAAACUUGGUAAGAUAGUACAGGAAAAAUAUAGACAUCUUACAUAUGAAUAUAGUUGUGUCUUAAAUGUAUCCCAUUUCUACUUUAACGACAAAGCUAUAAAAAAUACUUGAGAAUACAUUUAACAAAAGUGCAAGAAUCAAAGGAAAAUUUUACCAAUGUUUAUAGAACGGAAUCUAAAAUUUCAGGAUUAUAGGACGAUGUCAUUAAAAUGCAAUCUUACUAAAAUUUAUGUAGAUUUAUUGGAAUUCCUUUUUUAUCUUUUAAGGGAAGCUGGUUAAAAUAACUGAACGUUUAUAUGGAAAAUCAAGUGUCCAAGAAUAGCUUUUAAAACUCUGUGUGUGUGUGUGUGUAUAAAACAUGGGAAGGUAAAACUUGCCUUACCAGGUACUAGCUUACUUUGAAACUGCUGAAUCAAAAUGAUAUGACUUAAAAAAAAACAAAGUCAAAAUAAUAUUAUUGUGGUCCUAGGAAUAGACAACUAGAUGAUUGAAUUGAUCAUAAUAGUACAGAAGUAGGCCUGACUCUUUUUUCUUUUUCCUAUUCAAGGGAAAGUAUAAUUAAACAAAUGGUGCUGGCAUUACUGGCUAUCCAUUCAGAAGGAAAUAAAAAUUGGGCCUGUAUUAUACUCUGUAAAAAAAUUCCACAUAGGUUAAAGAAAGGUGAUACAAAGGCAUCAGAAGAAAAGUUAGAAUAGUUGUGUAACUUCAGGGUAAAAGAGAGCUUCCUAAAAAAAAGCAGGAAACCCAGAAAUCAAAAAAGAGAAGAGGUGUAUACUUGAUCAAAUUAAAUUUAAACAAUUUAAAUAAACAAGCAAUUUAAAUAGAUAAGUAUGAAAUCUAAAAUCCUUGUAUAGUAAAAACAAUAAACCAAAUAAAAAAGCAAAAGCAGAACACGUAUUUUUCAGCUUUCAUUUUGGAUUGCUACAGUUUGCACUCCCCAUCCCCACCAACCCAGGCUACUCCCACUUAAAAUUGUUGGAUUGUUUGCUUUAGGCAGGCUUAUUAUUGGGGGAGAAAAACCAGGCUCUUACUGUGAGGGGCAGAGUGGGACACCCUGGUGUUUAUGCCCAGUUGUAUGCAGAGUCUCAGUGGCAAGGGAAGGAGUAUCUUACCUCCCCCUACAAUUGCAAGGGGCAGCUGAUGUUCUGAUGAGUCUAACAGUUUGGGCUGGGCCUGGGAACCUGGGGGUAAAGCCACUCAAAGGUCCUCAGGGGUGAGCAUCACAACUACCAGUCAUAGAUCUAAGUUUGGGCAAGUAACUCCCCUUCAAAAUUAAAAAAAGAAACCUCAUGGGGAAAUGCUCUCAGAGAAAGAAUGGAGGUUUCCAUGGUAAGAAACUGGGAAGUUGGGACUAUUCUAAAUAAUUUCAUGUGAUGUGGUGUUUGGGAGAGGACCUUGGAGGCUGGACUGACACUUGUAAGCCCCUAACAAGGGCCUUUCCAGACCCUUCAGGCUUCUAUGGACCAACCCAACUGCUUCAGAUGGUGCUGAAGCAGAGCUCAUUUACUUUAUUCUCUUUCCUAGGGUACCAACACAUGACCUGCCUCUCAAUAAUACCUCUGAUAAUGGGAUUCCCAGGUGGCACAGUGGUGAAGAAUCCACCUGCCAAUGCUGGAGACUCGGGUUAGAUCCCUGGGUCAGGAAGAUUCCCUGAAGGAGGAAAUGGCUACCUGCUCCAGAAUUCUUGCUCUGAUGGGCAACAGCACAAGAGGCUGCUCCAGGCCCAGGCAGAGUGAAUGUGUCCUUAAACACCAAGCAUCACUGAGACAUGCAGGCAGGCGGGCUCAGGGGCUUUCACUGCGUUUGGUGAGGAGGCAGAAGGGGGUGUGUUGAUAGCUUGGCCUAAGCUUGCCUCAGUCUAGUGCGCUGAACAAAGUCCUUUCCUCUGCAAGCUGAUUAAAGAUGGGAUCAAGGAGAUCUGCAAGCUGGGAAGACAGCCUUACCUUGGUUUAGGAGCAAACCUGCUGAAACUUUAAAAAGUACAAUAGAAAUUCGCAUAAAAUUUCCAGAAAUAGUUUCUCUUUGAAGUCUCUACCCUCCACAUACUCAAGCAAAACCAAACAUCCUAUAUAUAAAUAAAAGUGUAGUAAAAGAGUAAGAGAGUUGAUUUAAAGUCGAGCCUGUUUCAAAAAGGAGGAUGUGUAUCAAACACUGAAGAGAAAUCAAGUGAGGUGAUGUCUGAAUGUCCAUUGGAUCUCAGAAGGUAGAAAUCAGUUUUGGUAGUAAUAGGGUGACCAUUUCAGAAGUCAGGAAAGAGACAGGAAGAGUACGCCUAUGGUCUUCAACCAUUUUUGCUAAAAUGAUGUUCACAAUCCAUGUACCUCCAUUUUGCUGGUGGUGGUAGCUUAGUCACUAAGUCAUGUCCAACUCUUGGUGACCCCAUGGACUGUAGCCUGCCAGGCUCCUCUAUCCAUAGGAUUUCCCAGGCAAGAAAACUGGAGUGGGUUGCCGUUUCCUUCUCUAGGGGAUCUACUUGACCCAGGGAUCGAACCCACAUUGCUUGUAUAGCUGGUGGAUUCUUUACCACUGAGUCACCAGAGACUUCCAUACCUCCGUUUUUAGAGACAUAUAAAAGUUUCAUUAUAACUCUAAGUAGCUGCCAAGAAUAAAAUUUUAUUAGAAAUGUUGACAUUUUAAAAUAAAGCAUCUUUCUCUUAAAUGUAUUCAAUGGAAUAUAAUUAUUUUAGUAAUUAGAAACCUACAGUCAUCCAUUUAAAAAUAUACCAACUAUCCUCUCCAAUCAUACAGGGAAGCAUUAUUUUUCCCAUAUACUGACACUUGAUAUUAUGAAUUCUCAAAAAUUUUGCUGAUCUGAUAGGUGAAAAAAUAGUAGCUUAUUGUUUUAAUAUGCAUUUGUCUGAUAAAUAAUGAAGCUACAUACCGUUUCAAAUAUGUUCCCAGCUAUUUUUGUUUCUUCCGUGAAAUAUCUAUUCAAAUUUUGCCCAAUUUUCUAUUACGGUGUCUUUUGCCUAUCAAUUUGUAGGAAUUCGUUGUAUAUUAGGAAUGUAAGCCCUUGUGCUAUCAUGUGGGUAGCAAAUGUUUUCUCUUAGUGAUUUGUUUGAAUAUUUCGUUUGUGAAGACAACAUUUUGAUUGGAAGUUCUCUAACUUCAAUUUUUCCCUAGAUUUUAAGUUGGUGGUGGAGGGUGGACUAUGGUGAUCUUCACUUCUGAACUCAGAAGGUCAGACUGAGAUGGAAGCUCCUUUCAAACACUUGCCGGAGGCAGCGGGCCUUUGAGGAGACAGCAAAAUAACCCUUUAUAUACAUCCAAAUCUGAAGAUGCAGAAGCUGAACUCUGAGAAGUAAAGGUUCUAGUCUGAUCCCUGUUUUCCCGAGGUGAUGAAAUUUGAGGUGAUUUUGUUAUGGAAGGACUAAUCUUGAAUAAGGAAGUGAUGCCACAAAAAUGCUACAAAAUUUAUAAAGUUAAUUAAUAUAAUAAAUAUGCAACAUAAAAAUCCAUCAAGUAAAUAUAAAUAAUGAUGCUUAACUAUAUGGAAAUAAGGAAAAAUAUAAAUAAGUAGUCCAUUCAAAGAUAUUAUAUUGAUCUAUGAGAACAGAACAUAAUUUGGCUCCCAUUAAAAGAAAAACUUAUUGUAAUUUGCAUCUAUUUCCUAAUCAAUUAAGAUAGAAUUUUUAGUUGCACAUGUUAUCUAUGAAUACCAUUUCCUUCAUAAAAAUUAAAGAGACUUACUGAUAGGUCUAAAGUUCUCUUUAACUACUACUAUAAUGAAGGAACCAGAACUGUUUGGAAGAGAUGAUGAAAACACAUUAGAGUGUGUAAUUGAAUAUCUGUGGGCAUAAUAACACUUCAAAAUGAUCUGAAAUGUGAUAAAUGAUUUGUACAGAAUUAUAACUUUAAAAUGUAUAAUGUAGUUGACAACCAGUAAGAAUUCUAUAUGAAAUUUAGCUUAAGUAGAUUAUUUCUUUGCUCUCUGAAGUCCAAAAUAAACUUGGAUACCUUCAUUUUUGAAAACCAUUAUGGUGAAAAUAGAUACUCAAAUGCAAAGCAAAUAGACUCAUAGAAGAAUAUGUAUUUCAAAUAACUAACCUUUAACACUUUUUCUGGAACUUCAGGUAGGAGUUCCUGAAGUUGACAAAGAGUUGCUAACAAUAUCCAGUUCAGUGAAGGUCCUUUAUAUAACAUGAGCUGAGCCACCAAUGGAGUAAUACUUGGAAAAUCAAAUUACAGGGAAUACUAGGAAGCAAAACAUAUCAUUCAAAAAUUGUUUACAACUUGAAGAAACAAAACCCCAGUAGAUUCUAAUCUUUGAACACUAUUUUGGACUACAAAGAAAGCUGAGCGCCCAAGAAUUGAUGCUUUUGAACUGUGAUGUUGGAGAAGACUCUUGAGAGUCCCCUGGACUGCAAGGAGAUCCAACCAGUCUAU